CGACCUUUGAUCGAUGCACAUUAAUGUAACGAUAUGCAACACUCUCUAAAUUGAGGUGUAUAUUAAUGAUUCCUAUUUGUGGACAGCUCCAUAAUUGGUGGCAAAAGUUGUAAUUAUGAAAUGAAUUUGAAGGCUGACAUUUAAUCUGAUGCAAAGAGAUUAGUUGAAGGAAUAUGUUCGAGUAAAAUGUGGUGUAUAAAUAGAGGUGAUAAGCGGACAUAAAAUGCAGAGAUCGAGGAAGAGAUGAGAGGAGAGGAGUUGCAUGAAGAGAAGAGGGUUCGAUGGUUUAGUAGCCAAGAAUGAUUUGCCUGGAAAUCUAUAAUUCUAGCUAGGAUUCCGGGCAGUCUUCUUGGUUACUUCAACGCCUCUUCUCUCUUAUGCUACUUCUUUUUGUCUUCGUGCUUCUAUACAUGUAAUAUAUAUACAUGCAUAUAUUUGCUAAGUUUUCGUUUCAUAACAAAUGGCUAGCUAGAGGGAGUUCAAUCUAACAUAGAAAAGAUCAUCGGGUUCUAAUCAUAUCAAUUUUUUCGAAUUGGUAUUCUGUUUCAUCCAAUUCCAGUUUCAUCAUAUUCAGGAAUUUGGUGUGAUAUAAAUUAGUUUUGGCGGAACCUUAUCACCACCCAAACCGUGGGAAAACAUCACUGCAUACAGGCGGGACCUUAUCACCACCUGAACGGUGGGAAAACAUCACCGCACGCAGGCGAGAAACGCCCUGCGUGUGGGACCUCAACACCAAAUAAUACAACAUCGCACGCAGGCUGGAAUACAGCGCCACCUUAAGUGGGAAAACAUCAUCGCACAUAGACGGGAUUAAACCCAAGACCUCUCACAAAGAAGAGUCUUUGGGUGCCUCAACCUUAUCACUAGAACAAGGCCUCAUUAGCAUCUUUGAAGAUAUAAUUAAUAGGGGUUAUUGCCAGAAAAUACAUGUAGUUUGUCAAUUUUCUUGUUUAUAACAUGACCUUAUAAUUUGACCAGAAAAUACACCAAUUUUCAAUUUAA
Long non-coding RNA from Salvia miltiorrhiza (redroot sage), 1002 nucleotides. RefSeq lists it as uncharacterized. Lineage: Eukaryota; Viridiplantae; Streptophyta; Magnoliopsida; Lamiales; Lamiaceae. The record is from RefSeq and is a predicted model, not a curated record. The transcript has 2 exons.